This 458-nucleotide ribosomal RNA is filed under the name uncultured bacterium. RNAcentral's name for it is "partial 16S ribosomal RNA". It matches the Rfam family "Bacterial small subunit ribosomal RNA", at positions 338 to 795 of the family's 1533-position model. The record is from RNAcentral.
CCUACGGGAGGCAGCAGUGAGGAAUAUUGGUCAAUGGGCGAGAGCCUGAACCAGCCAAGUCGCGUGAGGGAGUACUGCCCUAUGGGUUGUAAACCUCUUUUGUCGGGGAGCAAAAGCCGGACGUGUCCGGCUGUGAGAGUACCCGAAGAAAAAGCAUAGGCUAACUCCGUGCCAGCAGCCGCGGUAAUACGGAGGAUGCGAGCGUUAUCCGGAUUUAUUGGGGUUAAAGGGUGCGCAGGCGGAUUUUUAAGUCAGCGGUCAAAUCGUGGGGCUCAACCCCAUCCAGCCGUUGAAACUGGGGAUCUAGAGUGUGCGAGAGGUAUGCGGAAUGCGUGGUGUAGCGGUGAAAUGCAUAGAUAUCACGCAGAACCCCGAUUGCGAAGGCAGCAUACCGGUGCACAACUGACGCUCAGGCACGAAAGCGUGGGUAUCGAACAGGAUUAGAUACCCCAGUAGUC